This 25-nucleotide non-coding RNA is filed under the name Cricetulus griseus (Chinese hamster). The record is from RNAcentral. RNAcentral also lists the same sequence under 1 other name. Lineage: Eukaryota; Metazoa; Chordata; Mammalia; Rodentia; Cricetidae.
GGAAUUGCAGAAGCUGGAAGUGGGC